UCCUCCUCAGGUUUGCCCCACGCGAGAUGCAGCUUGGCUCCAAUCGCUGCAGGGUGCAGGCACACCAUCCUCGGCUCUGUUCGGUGUGAUGUAUGACUGCUAUGCACGGCUCGGCUCCACACAGAACAGAGGAGUCGCCGACUCCAGAUCCAGCGCCGCCAGGAUUCAGCCCCACCGCCGCCGCCGCCGGGAUUCGCUUCAGCGCCGCCGCCGGGAUUCGCAUCGCCGCCGCUGGUAGUUGCCUCCGCGCCGCUGCUGGGAGUCACCCAAACUUGCGUCGGCAAGAGGGAGGUAAAAGAGCUGAAUGCUUCUUUCACUAUUGAUUGCAUGGGGAGAGAAGCAAAUGGAGUUGGAUGAACUUUGUUCCAGAAAAAGUAUCCGAUGCGUUGUAGUUUGAUUCUAGUCCUGAUUAAUGAUUAACAAAUCUCUCAAGUCUGAAAAAAGGAGAUAUGUAUAAGCACCUUUGUGAGUACCUAGUUAUCAAUUGAUAGUGUAGCAUUAUCUAUUUGCUACAAUCUGAAGAAGUGUAGGGCUUGGAAACCAAAGCUUCUUAACUGUUUGUACAAGACUAGAGUCAACUGGAUUGUUGCUGGCAGAGUGUUAUAGUAGAACAUUAAAAAGGCAUAUGCUUCUCCCCCUGCAUGCUUGAAGAGCUUUAGUCAAGAUGGAGCUGUAGAGCAUUGGUGCUUCGAACAAGGAUGAUGCUUUGUACAGGUGCAAGAUGCCUAGAAUCCUAACCGAAGUGAAAGGAUGUGGUAGGCAUCAACAUGAGGGAGCGAAGAGCGAACUGGAGGCCACCUACUCGCGCAAUAGCUACACUCCCCCGUCGUUCUAUCCAAAGGCUCUCAAGUAUAAUCUUGGAAUAACACAACUGCUGAAAAAACCAUUGAAGAGGACGCAAUGGUUUUUUUUGAUUGUACGAGGAUGGAAUGGUUGCUGAUGGAGCAGACUUAGACUAGGAAUGUCAAAUCUUGCAAAUGUGAUGUUGAAUUCAUGACAACUUUGUACCAGCCUAUAGCUGAUUGUUCUCCCUGACAUUACAUUUGGAUAAUAUAAAAUCUUCAUUUUGAUGGAUA
This is an RNA transcript of Triticum aestivum (bread wheat), 1076 nucleotides long. RefSeq lists it as uncharacterized. The record is from RefSeq and is a predicted model, not a curated record. NCBI's taxonomy places the organism in Eukaryota, Viridiplantae, Streptophyta, Magnoliopsida, Poales, Poaceae. The transcript is spliced from 3 exons.